Molecule: ribosomal RNA, 259 nt
Filed under: uncultured bacterium
Lineage: Bacteria
Description: partial 16S ribosomal RNA
Rfam family: Bacterial small subunit ribosomal RNA
Source: RNAcentral
GUCCACGCCCUAAACGAUGAUUACUGGACAUUUGCGAUAUACAGUGAGUGUCUGAGCGAAAGCAUUAAGUAAUCCACCUGGGAAGUACGUCCGCAAGGAUGAAACUCAAAGGAAUUGACGGGGUCCGCACAAGCGGUGGAGUAUGUGGUUUAAUUCGAUGAUACGCGAGGAACCUUACCUGGGCUAGAAUGCGAGUGACCGUCUCUGAAAGGAGAUUUUCUAGCAAUAGACACAAAGCAAGGUGCUGCAUGGCUGUCGU